UCGACAGUCAUGCGUUUUCUCGGCCUCAAAUUGGUCUAACUUUCGCGGCCUUGUUCAAAUUAUUGCCUACUUACUUACUUGAUUACUUCAUGAUGUUGAGAGGUCUAUGUCCACUACUGCUUACUGGUCCAGUGUCUCACUUCAUUAGAUUCAGCUGGCCAGAUUUAUUUGCUACAAACACUGCAUAGACUAGAAUCUAGCUAUGCACUCCAAGAUGAAAUGUUUGGCACCAAGACUCAACACUACAAGGAAGCACAGUACAUACUUUCCCUACAGCUGUGUCAUCACAGGUCUCACGGUACAGACCUCACGACCCUCAUGAACAAUAAUCCAACAUUCACAUCUGUAGGUCUGUAAAGAUGGUAACUUAGAAGAGCCAGGAUAAGAGGAGAGGAUGAGAGAUCCACUGAAAGGGGCAGCCAUGACCAGACCACACCGGAGGAGUAUGUGUGUGUUAAGCCAACCCACAAGCAAGUAUGACCCACCCUAAACACAGGCUACCAGGAGGGUGCAGGAGGUACUCCGAGCUCCUCAAAACCUUACUCUAGCUCUGGGUUGUUGGGGAAGAACUCCAACUAUCAGUGGUCGCGCCCUAGGUACAGCAGAUGCACCAAGUCAGGUCUCGCAUCACCCUGAUGCCUAAAAAACAUUUGGUGGGCUUUGACCAAGUCUGAACAAUAACUCACAGACUACAACAUGGCUUACCAAAGUUUCUGGAACUUCCUAAGAUGAUGAACACUUUAUAUGAUGGAACUCAAGGUACAUAAUACUUUCCCAUGAUAAUAAUGAUAAAAAUGCAUUUUAUGUUGAAAUAAUACUUAAAUUUAUAAACUAUUAAUAAGAAAAUUAAGAAAUUAAAAAACUCUUGUACAUGAUGAAGUAUUAAAUCAUUAUUC
This is a long non-coding RNA of Portunus trituberculatus (swimming crab), 896 nucleotides long. RefSeq lists it as uncharacterized. The transcript has 3 exons. The record is from RefSeq and is a predicted model, not a curated record. NCBI's taxonomy places the organism in Eukaryota, Metazoa, Arthropoda, Malacostraca, Decapoda, Portunidae.